GGGGUUAUAGCUCAGUGGUAGAGCACAUACUUAGCAUACCUGAGGUCCUGGGUUCAAUUCCCAAUACUUCCA
RNAcentral lists this transfer RNA (72 nucleotides) under Camelus bactrianus (Bactrian camel). It matches the Rfam family "tRNA". From Rfam's summary of the family: Transfer RNA (tRNA) molecules are approximately 80 nucleotides in length. Their secondary structure includes four short double-helical elements and three loops (D, anti-codon, and T loops). Further hydrogen bonds mediate the characteristic L-shaped molecular structure. tRNAs have two regions of fundamental functional importance: the anti-codon, which is responsible for specific mRNA codon recognition, and the 3' end, to which the tRNAs corresponding amino acid is attached (by aminoacyl-tRNA synthetases). tRNAs cope with the degeneracy of the genetic code in two manners: having more than one tRNA (with a specific anti-codon) for a particular amino acid; and 'wobble' base-pairing, i.e. permitting non-standard base-pairing at the 3rd anti-codon position. RNAcentral also lists the same sequence under 3 other names. Lineage: Eukaryota; Metazoa; Chordata; Mammalia; Artiodactyla; Camelidae. The record is from Rfam by way of RNAcentral.